GGACGGGUGAGUAACACGUGGAUAACCUACCUAUAAGACUGGGAUAACUUCGGGAAACCGGAGCUAAUACCGGAUAAUAUAUUGAACCGCGUGGUUCAAUAGUGAAAGACGGUUUUGCUGUCACUUAUAGAUGGAUCCGCGCCGCAUUAGCUAGUUGGUAAGGUAACGGCUUACCGAGGCAACGAUGCGUAGCCGACCUGAGAGGGUGAUCGGCCACACUGGAACUGAGACACGGUCCAGACUCCUACGGGAGGCAGCAGUAGGGAAUCUUCCGCAAUGGGCGAAAGCCUGACGGAGCAACGCCGCGUGGGUGAUGAAGGUCUUCGGAUCGUAAAACUCUGUUAUUAGGGAAGAACAAGUGUGUAAGUAACUAUGCACGUCUUGACGGUACCUAAUCAGAAAGCCACGGCUAACUACGUGCCAGCAGCCGCGGUAAUACGUAGGUGGCAAGCGUUAUCCGGAAUUGUUGGGCGUAAAGCGCGCGUAGGCGGUUUUUUAAGUCUGAUGUGAAAGCCCACGGCUCAACCGUGGAGGGUCAUUGGAAACUGGAAAACUUGAGUGCAGAAGAGGAAAGUGGAAUUCCAUGUGUAGCGGUGAAAUGCGCAGAGAUAUGGAGGAACACCAGUGGCGAAGGCGACUUUCUGGUCUGUAACUGACGCUGAUGUGCGAAAGCGUGGGGAUCAAACAGGAUUAGAUACCCUGGUAGUCCACGCCGUAAACGAUG
This 724-nucleotide ribosomal RNA is filed under the name uncultured Staphylococcus sp. Its description in RNAcentral is "bacterial SSU rRNA". It matches the Rfam family "Bacterial small subunit ribosomal RNA", at positions 100 to 811 of the family's 1533-position model. Lineage: Bacteria; Bacillati; Bacillota; Bacilli; Caryophanales; Staphylococcaceae. The record is from RNAcentral.